GACGGGGCCCGCACAAGCGGCGGAGCAUGCGGAUUAAUUCGAUGCAACGCGAAGAACCUUACCAAGGCUUGACAUACACCGGUAACGCCCAGAGAUGGGUGCCCCUUUGUGGUCGGUGGACAGGUGGUGCAUGGUUGUCGUCAGCUCGUGUCGUGAGAUGUUGGGUUAAGUCCCGCAACGAGCGCAACCCUCGUCCUAUGUUGCCAGCGGGUCAUGCCGGGGACUCAUGGGAGACUGCCGGGGUCAACUCGGAGGAAGGUGGGAUGACGUCAAAUCAUCAUGCCCCUUAUGUCUUGGGCUUCACGCAUGCUACAAUGGCCGGUACAGAGGGCUGCGAUACCGCGAGGUGGAGCGAAUCCCAGAAAGCCGGUCUCAGUUCGGAUUGGGGUCUGCAACUCGACCCCAUGAAGUCGGAGUCGCUAGUAAUCGCAGAUCAGCAACGCUGCGGUGAAUACGUUCCCGGGCCUU
Molecule: ribosomal RNA, 468 nt
Filed under: uncultured Cellulomonas sp.
Lineage: Bacteria; Bacillati; Actinomycetota; Actinomycetes; Micrococcales; Cellulomonadaceae
Description: bacterial SSU rRNA
Rfam family: Bacterial small subunit ribosomal RNA
Source: RNAcentral